Molecule: long non-coding RNA, 528 nt
Organism: Calidris pugnax (ruff)
Lineage: Eukaryota; Metazoa; Chordata; Aves; Charadriiformes; Scolopacidae
Exons: 3
Source: RefSeq, a predicted model, not a curated record
AAAUACAUCGGGCGACUCCAAGGGAUGGCAACACGCAGGCGCCUUUAAGCAAAGUUCAAGCAGCUCCUAAAUUAACCAAAGCGAAUCCCCGAAGAUGCAGUAUUUAUGCACUGAAGCAAGAAGGGAGGGCUCUCAUCUCACAAGUCUCAUCAGCCAUCACAGCCCAAGAAGCGUGAGAGAGAAAAUAAGAGUUAUUUACCUUUUGCUAAUUGGAAGCCGGGCGGCUCAGCGUGCUGCCCGAAUGAGGAGGGAAGGCGAGCCCGUCCCGCGGCAGGCGGCCACGCUGCCAGGACACACGUAUCCACCACUGGGAAUUGACUUUAAAUGGAGGGCUGCAAACUGGUAUUUCAUUCAUCACUGUAUCAUAUAGAAAGCCUGAGCUGAAUAAAACCUUCCGAAAGAAGAUGAGGAGACGCUCUCUGCCUUAUAGAUUAUUUUACAGUUACUGAAGCCAUUUGUUUUCUCUGCCUGCAUCCCACAAACGUGGAAUAUAAACCAUAUACCAGGAGGCGUGACUUCUACUUUUUG